CCAUCACCCACCCACCUGCCACCACCAUAAACCCCAACCCAAAAUCAACCCACCACUAGCCACCACCACUAGAAAACAACGACCAAAUCACAAAACCCAACCAUCACAAAUCACAAAUCACAAAACAACCACCAUCACAAAGACAAAAUCCAGCCAUCACAAAAUUUCACCCACCACCAAACUGUGACCCACGACCCAGACCCACCAUGACCAAGUGACCCACAGUGACCGCCGAAGCACUGUGACUCGCACCCAUGGGAAAUCGGUGAGAGGGAGAGAGAAAACGAGCAAGAGAGGGCCACAAACAACCCCACAAACGCUUCUCUCUCAGCUCCUCUAGGGUUAUAGAGAGAAAAAGUUUGUUCAGCCUCAGACCAAUUUCUUCACAAUCCCAAAAAUACCUUCUUCAGUGAAACUGGGUUCCAUUAACCAGAGACUAUAGCCAUUGAAGAUGCUGUCAGAGUUCUAUUGCAUGGUUUAGGGGAGGAUAUUAAUAGAGAGGGUCUCAAGAAGACUCCUUUUCGUGUUGCCAAGGCACUUCGUGAAGGAACUAAAGAGAAUUGUCUAGCAGUGAUGAGAAAAAAUAUAAAGCACUGAAGCGGGCAACUGAAAGGGAGAUUUCUCAAAGUGUUGUUGUCAUCUGUUGCACAUGUGUUGGUGCUGGAGAUCCUCGAUUGGCAAAUUUUAGGUUCCGUCAGGUUGAAAUGUAUCUAACAUGUGGAAGUUUGUCCAGGAUUCACUAGUUUAAAAGCUUACUCUUUUUAACUUUUUGUUUUUUGUUUUGCUGCUAUUGGUAUUGUGCAUUUGGAUCAUUCACAGUGGUUUUAUUUUUUUGGAUUUUUCUAUUCACUGAUUUUUUUGGAAUGUUUUUCUAAAAAGUUAACCUCUUUUUAACUGAGAAGCUCUCUAGCUUUUUUGGCUUUUGAGUGUUUGACAAAUUGCGUUAAACAAUGCUUUAAAGUGGUAGAUUUAUAAAGCAUGAUUAGUGAAUUGUAUAGUUUUUUCAAUAAAAGCUUCAAAUUUUAGCUUCCUAAUCAUGAAGGUUGAUGUAGUUGAGCUUUAAACUAGUUUUCUAUUGGGGAGGGUUUGGGAAUUGGGAUAAGCGUAGGUCUUAGUUUUUUUUCUAAAAUGCAUUGAAAAUGCUGUUACUAUUAGUUGUAUGCAUAAUUUAUAUGUUUUUAAUAUAUUUCAUUCUUCUUUAUUUAGGUUUUUUAUUUAUUAGUGCUCGUUUAGAUGGAGAAACAAAUUUUUAUAAAUCUUUUCCCCUUUAAGAAAGAAACCAAAUAGAAUUCUCUUUUUUUUUUCUUCCUUUUUUUGAGAGAGAAUUUGAUUGGGAGGCAUUGACUCUCUCCCUCAACAACACAUGAUGAGCCAAUCCAGCCAAGGACUAUAAUAUGAGCGAGUGAAACUUCCUCCAAUCACAAAACAUUGUGAUUCUGUAUUAUGGGUCCCAAACCUUCACCUUGAUUCUCAUUGGUGCGUGUGGUACACAAACACAUGGUUGAGAGUGGAAUUUUCUUACAAAUUGGCUUGGGAAAAGAUAGAAGAAGCAAAAAAAAAAAAAAAAAUGCAUAAUAUAGUAUAGUAUAGAGUUUUUUUAAAUAAAAGAGUGUCAGAGGUUAGGGUCAAGUGAACGUGCAGUAUUUGAAGUACAGAUCUGGAUCCACUCAAAGCACCAAACUCAAAUUAAACAACACAAAAUCAGUACAAUAUACACAAUACAUCACAACACACCAACACUUCUCUCACUCACUGCCACUCUUACUGGUCUUUUGUUUUUAUACUUUCAAAGGAGAAAGAGAGGAGAGAGUGUGUGUCUGUGUGAGGUAGUGUUUAGAAAGAGAGAGAAUCUAGAGAGAGAGAGUGCUUAGGUAACUAGCUUUCAGCUUCUUCACUGCUCACUUAAUAGCCCUGACCCCAAGAAACAAAGCAACAGCAGUGAAGCGAUUGAAUGGUUCUUCUCUGCUCCAGCUGCUGCUGCUAGACUCUGCAAACCAGCAUAGGAAGAAGGCGGUGGUUUGGCUUUUGUAGUAAAGAUUGACACUUUGACUGCUAUUAUUUAUGUUUGAAGAGGGAAAGAGAGAGAAACAGCAACAAGAAAGUACCUUCUUUCAUGGCUGCUGUGGGUGCUAGGGCUACCACUUCCAUCACAACAAAUCCAUUGUGUGCUGUUAAGACCAGACUCCAGAUUGCAAAAAGAAGAGGCACUAUAAGUUCGUGUAAUCAAAGCAAGUGAAUUUGGUGAAAGACUUAAGAGGUUCAUGUGAUGAGUUGCUUGUAGAAUGCCAAUUUUCUCUUGAGGGUUACUGGUUGUUGUGGCAAAGUAGCACCAACAAUUUUGGCACUGUUGCCUUUGGUUAUGGAUGCUCCUCUGAUCGAACAAUCUCCAGCUCUCCCCAAAUCAUUAGCCGCAUCUCAUCAACCAAGAAGCUUAUAAGUUUUAUCUUGGAGUUCUUAGACUUUUUUGUGUACAAAGAACUAUAGAAGAAGAACCGCAUUUUUUCAAGUCUUGAAGGAUAUUUUUAAACACCUUGAAACUUUGAUUAUAGUAUUAGAUUAAUUUCAGCGGUUGUUUUAUUCAAAUGACCAC
Long non-coding RNA from Quercus lobata, 2590 nucleotides. RefSeq lists it as uncharacterized. The transcript has 8 exons. The record is from RefSeq and is a predicted model, not a curated record. NCBI's taxonomy places the organism in Eukaryota, Viridiplantae, Streptophyta, Magnoliopsida, Fagales, Fagaceae.